UCCGUCUUGAUCUGCGUACGCUAUUGUGA
Molecule: non-coding RNA, 29 nt
Filed under: Bombyx mori (domestic silkworm)
Lineage: Eukaryota; Metazoa; Arthropoda; Insecta; Lepidoptera; Bombycidae
Source: RNAcentral